Long non-coding RNA from Gallus gallus (chicken), 1985 nucleotides. The record is from Ensembl. NCBI's taxonomy places the organism in Eukaryota, Metazoa, Chordata, Aves, Galliformes, Phasianidae.
UAAAAAUUAAAAAUUGAACCAUUUUGUAGGCUGUGUUGUUCAAAGGCUAAUUUUUCCCUUGGUAAAACUUGCACUUCAUUCCCAGCUUGACUUUGUCCGACUUGAGCUUUCAGUCAUUCACUGGAUAAGAGAUCCUACUGUAAUCAGAAAUCUUUCAUGUGGUCUAAUCACGCUGAAACCCAUAUUACAUUAUGCAUCAAAUUGAAGCAUCUUCCUGAAGCGCACUGUCAAGACCUCAAGACCUUCCCUGAUAAUCCCUUUUGAUCUCUCAACAUAAAUUCUGGUGUUGAUGCUAUGAAAACAGACACAGUAUUCCACGAAUGACACAGACAUGGUUCCAGCUAGUGAUGCAUCACAUGGGCUCCUUCUGCUAGUCACGCAUCUCCUCUCUCCCAAAUAUACAUUCAGCGCCAUCAUGUAGUCAAGUGAUGGAACUCCAUCUGUACAAAGGAAUUCACCUCAUUUUUAUGUAUACUUCAGUAACUUGUGUCCUCUGCAAAUUUUAACCUUAAUUCUAUUUUCUUUUAGAAAAUUAUAAAGAAAUAACUGAAUGCAGUGAUCUACACGGUGUCUACAUGGUGCUCCACUAGAAAGUCUCCUUGAAGAUGGUGUCUUCCUGUUCACAGUUAAUCAUUAACAUAAUUCAACUACUUUUAGAUGGGAAUUUGCUGCUGAUACAUACACUGCAUGUAUUCCUUCCUGAUAUCAUACAACUACAGCUUUUUUUUUAACUUCAUUCAGCAUCUCUCUUUGUCUCAUAGAGCUGGAAAGUUACUUUGUGCAGUGGAGGAAGAGAAUUACUGUUUUUUCUUAAAAUGCAAAACCAGCAUUAUGGGUGGUUUAUUCAAGCCUUUGCUUCCACCAUCUUUGCAGUCUACAGUUAAAGUUCUCCUUUAGAUGCUCACAGCAGGACACUAAUAGAGAAAGUGUCUCAGCAAAACUGAUUGUGCCAUCAACAGUGUCAAUUGCACAAUGCAGUUUCUGUGCUAUGGCCACAGCUGAGAGUGUUUGCAUAAAAAGCAAAAGCUACUCAGACAAGAUCAAGGAUAAAAUACAGCUUAUUUUUCAGUUGCUGCUGUGUGCAUUCUGUGUGGUUUUAGUGGCACAAGAACCAUUGGCAGGACACAGAAUUGAUGUCACAAGAGGCACUUCAUGUAGAAAACUGAGGAGCAUUAGACAAAAGGAACAGACCAAAGCCUAAAGUCUUUGUGACUGAAAAAUGGGUGCACUGGAGAUUAUUUCUCCUAUGGGACAUUUAUAUUAACUAUAACUGUAACAACAAUCAGCAUUACUUUCUUUUGUGCGAUCGAAUUAUGUGCUGGUCACAGCACAAGCGCUGCUGCAAGACUGCUCUUUAGCUAUUGUCUUCAACAGAUGUGCCAAAGGAAGGGGGCUGGUUUGAUCAAAGGCAAGGAGGGCUAUGCACAAAGAAGACUGGAACUCUCUUCAUGACAUUGUCAUUCAGAGGGUUGAAUUACGUGUGACAAAUCAGCAUCUCAUCUUCCUAAGCUUUGUACCUCCAAAAUGAAACAGAUGGGCUGUAUCAGCUUCCUCCCACUGUUAAACGAGGAUGAAGCAUGCUGGCAACUCCCAUUGGCAUACUGCUUUGAGGUCUACAGGCUCCAAGAAACACAAAGGGUUAACUUCAUUGAAGGCUGACUUUUUUCCAUGUUCUGGUUUUAGAGAGAAGGGACAUUUAUUUUUAAUAUUUUUCCAUUUGGAUUUUGUCUUAGUUUAGCUUUUGAAGGUGGACCUAUAUUAACACACUAUUUCAUAUUUAACUUUUACAAUUCUCAUUAUGCUCAGUACAUAGAUAGGCACACAGACAAUUUUGCCUCAAGGAGAGGACAACACAUAAAUGAUAGCACACACUGGGCAUUUCUGCUGUUGUAUCUGUGUUAUAAAAAAAAAAACAACACAAAAAAGCCACGUCUCUGUUGACUGUGUAUGUGAUUUAGGGGAACUAAGUCUGCAUUAAUUUAAAC